RNAcentral lists this ribosomal RNA (255 nucleotides) under uncultured bacterium. RNAcentral's name for it is "partial 16S ribosomal RNA". It matches the Rfam family "Bacterial small subunit ribosomal RNA", at positions 524 to 776 of the family's 1533-position model. The record is from RNAcentral.
UACAGAGGGUGCGAGCGUUAAUCGGAAUCACUGGGCGUAAAGGGCGCGUAGGCGGCCGAUCAAGUCGGGGGUGAAAGCCUGUGGCUCAACCACAGAAUUGCCUUCGAUACUGUUUGGCUUGAGACCGGAAGAGGUAAGUGGAACUGCGAGUGUAGAGGUGAAAUUCGUAGAUAAUUCGCAAGAACACCAGUGGCGAAGGCGGCUUACUGGUCCGGUUCUGACGCGUGAGGCGCGAAAGCGUGGGGAGCAAACAGG